Molecule: ribosomal RNA, 100 nt
Filed under: Clostridioides difficile
Lineage: Bacteria; Bacillati; Bacillota; Clostridia; Peptostreptococcales; Peptostreptococcaceae
Source: RNAcentral
GAGGAUACACCUGUUCCCAUUCCGAACACAGAAGUUAAGCUCUUUAGCGCUGAUGGUACUUGGUGGGAAACUGCCUGGGAGAGUAGGACGUAGCCACGUG